UUUUACUCAUAACUCCGAGCCGAAAAACCUGGGUCCUUACUGGAUAUGGUUUAAGGCCGACAGGGUAUAGCAGGAAACAGCUAUGCCUCCCUAUUUUGGAAAGGAGAUAGUAUGCCUGAGCUU
RNAcentral lists this non-coding RNA (123 nucleotides) under Desulfovibrio sp. RNAcentral describes it as "MoCo sequence". It matches the Rfam family "Molybdenum/Tungsten riboswitch aptamer (Moco RNA motif)". The record is from RNAcentral. Lineage: Bacteria; Pseudomonadati; Thermodesulfobacteriota; Desulfovibrionia; Desulfovibrionales; Desulfovibrionaceae.